Molecule: ribosomal RNA, 484 nt
Filed under: uncultured bacterium
Lineage: Bacteria
Description: partial 16S ribosomal RNA
Rfam family: Bacterial small subunit ribosomal RNA
Source: RNAcentral
AUUGAACGCUGGCGGCAGGCCUAACACAUGCAAGUCGAGCGGAUGAAGGGAGCUUGCUCCUGGAUUCAGCGGCGGACGGGUGAGUAAUGCCUAGGAAUCUGCCUGGUAGUGGGGAAUAAGGUCGGAAACGGGGGCCUAAUACGCAAACGGCCCGGGGGGGGAAGGGGGGGGUCCUCGGACCCCACGCCAAUCGGAUGAGCCUAGGUCGGAUUAGCUAGUUGGUGGGGUAAAGGCCUACCAAGGCGACGAUCCGUAACUGGUCUGAGAGGAUGAUCAGUCACACUGGAACUGAGACACGGUCCAGACUCCUACGGGAGGCAGCAGUGGGGAAUAUUGGACAAUGGGCGAAAGCCUGAUCCAGCCAUGCCGCGUGUGUGAAGAAGGUCUUCGGAUUGUAAAGCACUUUAAGUUGGGAGGAAGGGCAGUAAGUUAAUACCUUGCUGUUUUGACGUUACCAACAGAAUAAGCACCGGCUAACUUCGUG